ACGCUCGACACCUACGGGAAGCAGCAGUGGGGAAUAUUGGGCAAUGGGCGCAAGCCUGACCCAGCAACGCCGCGUGAAGGAAGAAGGCUUUCGGGUUGUAAACUUCUUUUGUCAGGGAAGAGCAGAAGACGGUACCUGACGAAUAAGCCACGGCUAACUACGUGCCAGCAGCCGCGGUAAUCUGAGCGGGCUGGCAAGGC
Molecule: ribosomal RNA, 200 nt
Filed under: uncultured bacterium
Lineage: Bacteria
Description: partial 16S ribosomal RNA
Rfam family: Bacterial small subunit ribosomal RNA
Source: RNAcentral